Molecule: long non-coding RNA, 991 nt
Organism: Bos taurus (domestic cattle)
Lineage: Eukaryota; Metazoa; Chordata; Mammalia; Artiodactyla; Bovidae
Source: Ensembl
GCCCCGGCUUUGACCCCCUGGCCCCGGCAGAGCCGCCUCCCAGCCUGCCCCUGGGGAGGGGCCACCUGGUGUCAAUUAAGCCCCAGCCACAAGGCUCACGCCACGCCAGGCGGCUGAUUAGUGCCGCUGGCCUCUCCAGAUGGGGAGCACGGCCUGAGAGGGGCGCCUGCCACCACGCCAGGAGACGGCCUCGCCGGAGCCGGUGACAGCCCCAGGCCAGGUCCUUCCCUCCCGGAGCCUCUGCUUGGUCGGCUCUCCGCUGUGGAUGCUACCUGGGGCUCCCUCCUGGAACAGUGGGUAGGACUUGCAUGUGAUCCGAGUGGCCCCAUUCCUGGGACACACGGAUCACUGGAUUUUCAGCCAGGCAUAAAAUGAUUCUGGGAAAGGAGACGGCAAAUUUCAGAAGAAAGAAGGCUUUCUCGUAUCAUUCUGAGUUUGAUGACUUGCUUCCCAAGUGCCAUUCCUGUUCAAAAAGAGAAUCCAUUUCCUGUGAGAGGGAAGUUUCUAAAGCCACUCCCUUCACUCAAGCCUCUUUAUGACCAUCCAUGGCUUCUCAGUUUCUUGGGACAAAGUCCAAGCUCAACUCAAGGCCCUGGACUCUUGCCAGCUCUCUCAUUCCUCCCAGCUUCACUUCACAUAGUCCAUCCAGACAGGACAGAACUUUUCCCCCAGCUCAGCACAUUUCCUCUUGCCCUCGCCUCUGCACCUGUGGCUCCUGCUGCCAGGACAGCCUAUCUCCCCACAGAGCAUCCCCUGCUGGUCCUUCCUGCCUCAGCGUAGACAUUGCCUCUGGCAGGAACUCUUGCUGGACUCUCCUAGGUCUUAUGUCCUCCCUUAGACUCUCAUACACACUCCACCGUAUCCCACCCAUAUCAUGCCAAAUUGAAAACACCUGUUUACUUGUUUGUCUGUCUCUCUUGAAUGUAAAUUCUUUGGAAGUGGGAUCCAUAGGUUAUUCAGUGAUAGGUCACAACAAUGUCUAGCACAAUGC